GCCAGGUGUGGGUGGUGCACACCUAUAAUUCUAGUAACUCAGGAGGCUGAGGCAGGAGGAUCACUUGAGCCCAGGAGUUUGAAACCAGCCUAGGCAACUUAAGUGGGACCCUGUCUCUU
This 119-nucleotide small RNA is filed under the name Marmota monax (woodchuck). The record is from RNAcentral. Lineage: Eukaryota; Metazoa; Chordata; Mammalia; Rodentia; Sciuridae.